Molecule: ribosomal RNA, 437 nt
Filed under: uncultured bacterium
Lineage: Bacteria
Description: partial 16S ribosomal RNA
Rfam family: Bacterial small subunit ribosomal RNA
Source: RNAcentral
UCAUCAGNCCUANCACAUGCAAGUCGAGNGANAAAGCCUUUUCCGGUGAGUACAGCGCGGGACGGGUGAGUAUNGNGUGGGAAUCUACCCAGUAGCGGGGGAUAGCCCGGGGAAACUCGGAUUAAUACCGCAUACGCCNUACGGGGGAAAGCAGGGGAUNUUCGGACCUUGCGNUUNUGGAUGAGCCCGCGUCAGAUUAGCUAGUUGGUGGGGUAAUGGCNUNCCAAGGCGACGAUCUGUAGCUGGUCUGAGAGGAUGAUCAGCCACACUGGGACUGAGACACGCCAGACUCCUACGGGAGGCAGCAGUGGGGAAUAUUGGACAAUGGGGGCAACCCUGAUCCAGCCAUGCCGCGUGUGUGAAGAAGGCCUUCGGGUUGUAAAGCACUCAGUGGGGAGGAAAAGCUGUUGGUUAAUACCCNGACGGCCGACNUACCC